GCCAGACUCCUACGGGAGGCAGCAGUGGGGAAUAUUGGGCAAUGGGCGCAAGCCUGACCCAGCAACGCCGCGUGAAGGAAGAAGGCUUUCGGGUUGUAAACUUCUUUUGUCAGGGACGAAGCAAGUGACGGUACCUGACGAAUAAGCCACGGCUAACUACGUGCCAGCAGCCGCGGUAAUACGUAGGUGGCAAGCGUUAUCCGGAUUUACUGGGUGUAAAGGGCGUGCAGCCGGGAAGACAAGUCAGAUGUGAAAUCCCGCGGCUCAACCGCGGAACUGCAUUUGAAACUGUUUUUCUUGAGUAUCGGAGAGGUAAUCGGAAUUCCUAGUGUAGCGGUGAAAUGCGUAGAUAUUAGGAAGAACACCAGUGGCGAAGGCGGAUUACUGGACGACAACUGACGGUGAGGCGCGAAAGCGUGGGGAGCAAACAGGAUUAGAUACCCCCGUAC
Molecule: ribosomal RNA, 449 nt
Filed under: uncultured bacterium
Lineage: Bacteria
Description: bacterial SSU rRNA
Rfam family: Bacterial small subunit ribosomal RNA
Source: RNAcentral